RNAcentral lists this ribosomal RNA (27 nucleotides) under Lepidisis olapa. RNAcentral's name for it is "partial 28S ribosomal RNA". Lineage: Eukaryota; Metazoa; Cnidaria; Anthozoa; Scleralcyonacea; Keratoisididae. The record is from RNAcentral.
UUGACCUCAGAUCGGGCCAGAUUACCC